RNAcentral lists this long non-coding RNA (369 nucleotides) under Ananas comosus (pineapple). RNAcentral describes it as "long non-coding RNA (ACOM_LNC023298)". Lineage: Eukaryota; Viridiplantae; Streptophyta; Magnoliopsida; Poales; Bromeliaceae. The record is from RNAcentral.
UUGAUCGAGGAGGGGUCAUUAAUGGCAAAACGGUAAUUUUGCAAAAAGCUCGACAUUUUAUAUACUGUUUUGCGUGAAAUUGAUUGUGGAGGUGUGUUCGUGAGUUUCAGUUGCGCUGUGAGGGACUCAAUGCUAAAUAUUGAGUUUUGAGGGACUUGUGCGCAAAUUGGAGCUUGUAUAAAUUGUGUAACUAGGGUUUUCAUACUUGAAACCCUAACCCUAGCCCCCAGCUAACCCCAGCCACCUCCAUCUUCCUCACCUGCCCUCGCCGCGCGCACCCCGGCCGCCAGCGCGUGCCUCCGGCCGCCUGAACAAACAGCUUUGUCUUCCCUCCCCAUCUCCUCCACCUAACCUCCACCACUUUUGCCU